This 53-nucleotide transfer RNA is filed under the name Decemunciger sp. AB-2017. Its description in RNAcentral is "tRNA-Leu". Lineage: Eukaryota; Metazoa; Annelida; Polychaeta; Terebellida; Ampharetidae. The record is from RNAcentral.
AGAUAAAAUGUACUUGAUUUAGGAUCAAUUAAUAAGGCAUGCCUUACUUGUUA